GAUGAACGCUAGCUAUAGGCUUAACACAUGCAAGUCGAGGGACCGGCGCACGGGUGAGUACCGCGUAUCCAACCUACCCAUAACUAAGGGAUAACCCAGCGAAAGUUGGACUAAUACCUUAUGGUUAUGGUUGGGGAUGCGUCUGAUUAGAUUGUUGGCGGGGUAACGGCCCAACAAGGCAACGAUCAGUAGGGGUUCUGAGAGGUAUGUCCCGCAGAUUGUAAAUGAGACACGGUCCAAACUCCUACCGGAGGAAGCAGUGAGGAAUAUUGGUCAAUGGACGGAAGUCUGAGCCAGCCACGUAGCGUGCAGGAUGCCGGCCAAUGGGGUGUAAACUGCUUUUAUAUGGGGAUAGGUACCAUAUGAAUAAGGACCGGCUAAUUCCGUGCCAGCAGCCGCGGUAAUUC
Molecule: ribosomal RNA, 407 nt
Filed under: uncultured bacterium
Lineage: Bacteria
Description: partial 16S ribosomal RNA
Rfam family: Bacterial small subunit ribosomal RNA
Source: RNAcentral